UACGUAGGGUGCGAGCGUUAAUCGGAAUUACUGGGCGUAAAGCGUGCGCAGGCGGUUUGUUAAGACAGAUGUGAAAUCCCCGGGCUUAACCUGGGAACUGCAUUUGUGACUGGCAAGCUAGAGUAUGGCAGAGGGGGGGUAGAAUUCCACGUGUAGCAGUGAAAUGCGUAGAGAUGUGGAGGAAUACCGAUGGCGAAGGCAGCCCCCCUGGGCCAAUACUGACGCUCAUGCACGAA
Molecule: ribosomal RNA, 236 nt
Filed under: uncultured bacterium
Lineage: Bacteria
Description: partial 16S ribosomal RNA
Rfam family: Bacterial small subunit ribosomal RNA
Source: RNAcentral